RNA transcript from Manihot esculenta (cassava), 6121 nucleotides. It is a transcript of the gene named lysine-specific histone demethylase 1 homolog 2, with no coding region annotated. The transcript has 5 exons. NCBI's taxonomy places the organism in Eukaryota, Viridiplantae, Streptophyta, Magnoliopsida, Malpighiales, Euphorbiaceae. The record is from RefSeq and is a predicted model, not a curated record.
UUUCUCCCACACUUUCGAGGUUACACCAGAAAAACCCUAAAAAUCUCCCCCUCUGACUUUGAAAAAAACUUGUCGGAUUGCUUAUUGCGGACAGCUGUUCAACUUGGGCAAGGAAGGUGAGUCACCAUCUUCUUUCAAUUCUUGAAUAGUCUCGUGCCAAAAUUUUGGUUUAUUCUUGGAGUCUUCAAUUGUGGGAUUCAGUGCUUUUAUCAAAUUGUGACUGUUAAAGUUCUGUUGGUCUUCAAUUUGAAGUUAAAUGUAAUGGUGUCUUUAUGCAGCUAUGUUUGAAAGUUAAUUGUCACCGAUGAGGAGUGUAAUUUUCUUUAGUUGGGGAUUCCAUUGCAGUUAAAGGAGAAAUGGGUUUUGAAUGAAUCUGGAGCCUCUUUGUAUGGCUGAAUGAUUUUCAUAUUCUUUUUCGAAAUGGGAGAUGAAUUCAAGAAGACAUCUGUAGUUUUUGUAGGGGUAUGUUACUGUGUUGAUUAUUGAGACAUGCCCAUCUUAUAGCAGUUUGGUUUUAGAUGAUAUAGUAGCAUUAAGAGAGACAUUCCUAGUUGUGUGCUUGAUGGUUUUUCUACGGAAUGUUGCUGCAUAAGAAAUAUUCACUUUAUGCUAUUUUGCUUAGAGUUGAUCAGUGGUUAAUAUUGAAGGGAGAUGUAUUGUUCUGUUCUUGAUUCGAUGUUUUAAGGUUGAUGAGUAUGAGUUUGAGUUGAAAAGUUUGAUUAUAGUUCAUAAGGCCAUGGAAACCCCAGGCCAGGAAGGGCUGAUUACAAAGAGGUCAUUGAGGAAGAAAGCGGGUUUGCGGAAUUAUGAUGAGAAUUUGAUGGAUGAGUUGAUAGAGAAUCAUUUGGGUGGUUCUUUGAAGAAAAGGAAUCGAACGAGGGAGGAUCUGGAAAAGGAGACUGAAACUGAGGCAAUGAUAGCAAUAUCUCUGGGGUUUCCAAUUGAUGCAUUACUUGAGGAGGAGAUUCAAGCUGGGGUGGUAAGACAAUUGGGUGGAAAAGAGCAGAAUGAUUAUAUUGUUGUGAGGAAUCAUAUCCUUGCAAGGUGGAGAAGUAAUGUGAAGGCAUGGCUAUCAAAGGGACAGAUUAAAGAAACUGUGAGCAAUGAGUAUGAGAAUUUGAUAUCUUCUGCUUAUGAUUUUCUUUUGUACAAUGGAUAUAUCAAUUUUGGAGUUUUUUCAUCCCUUACACCCCCUAUGCCAGAAUUGAUUAAUGAAGGGUCCGUGAUAAUUGUCGGUGCAGGACUUGCUGGUUUAUCAGCAGCAAGGCAACUUAUGUCCUUUGGUUUUAAGGUGGUUGUUUUAGAAGGUAGGAAUCGUCCUGGGGGGAGAGUUUAUACUCAAAAAAUGGGUAGGAAUGACCAAUUUGCUGCUGUGGAUCUUGGAGGUAGUGUUAUUACUGGUAUACAUGCAAAUCCUUUGGGAGUUCUUGCUAGGCAACUUUCUAUUCCACUCCAUAAGGUGCGAGAUAACUGUCCAUUGUACAGACCAGAUGGGGCGCCUGUUGAUAAGGAAGUUGAUUAUAAGAUUGAAUUCAUCUUCAAUAAGUUGCUUGAUAAAGUCAUGGAACUCAGAAAAAUAAUGGGUGGAUUUGCAAAUGAUGUUUCACUGGGUUCAGUUUUGGAGAGACUUAGGAAGUUGUAUGCUGUGGCUAGAAGUACAGAAGAGAGGCAGUUGCUUGAUUGGCAUCUUGCUAACUUGGAAUAUGCAAAUGCAGGAUGUCUCGCAAAUCUAUCUGCUACAUAUUGGGAUCAGGAUGAUCCAUAUGAAAUGGGUGGGGACCACUGCUUUCUAGCUGGAGGGAACUGGAGAUUAAUAAAAGAACUAUGUCAAGGGAUUCCUAUACUCUAUGGGAAGACUGUGAAUACUAUAAGAUACGGAAGUGAAGGUGUUAUGGUUGUUGCUGGUGAACAAGUUUUUCAAGCAGAUAUGGUCCUUUGCACUGUGCCUCUUGGAGUAUUGAAGAAAAGGACCAUCAAUUUUGAACCAGAGCUCCCUGGAAGGAAGCUUGCAGCAAUUGAUAGAUUGGGUUUUGGACUGCUUAAUAAAGUGGCAAUGGUUUUCCCCCAUGUCUUUUGGGGGGAGGAGUUGGAUACAUUUGGAUGUCUCAAUGAGCAUAGCAGUAAACGUGGAGAGUUCUUUUUGUUCUAUGGUAACCAUACUGUUUCUGGAGGCCCGGUACUUAUUGCAUUGGUUGCUGGAGAAGCAGCACAAAUGUUUGAAUACACGGAUCCAUCUAUUAUACUUCACCGUGUUUUAAGUGUUCUUAGAGGUAUAUACAAUCCCAAAGGCAUUGACGUUCCUGACCCCAUACAAACGAUUUGUACAAGAUGGGGCAGUGAUCCCUUUAGUUAUGGUUCAUAUUCUCAUGUUAGGGUACAGUCAUCUGGUAGUGACUAUGAUUUACUUGCAGAAAGUGUUGGUGGUCAGCUGUUUUUUGCUGGUGAGGCAACAACUAGGCAAUAUCCAGCCACAAUGCAUGGUGCCUUCUUGAGUGGUUUAAGAGAGGCUUCUCGCAUUUUAAGAGUCAAUAGAAGUUGGCAAAAUAAUUCAAGGAAGGCUUUUCCGAGGAGUGGUGGAGUAAGCAAUGAUACAUUGGUAGAUCUAUUCAAGAGACCUGACCUAGCAUUUGGAAAAUUUUCUUUUAUAUCUAAUCCUUUGAUACAAGACCCAAAUUCAAUGGGCAUAAUGAGAAUUAUUUUUGAUAAUUGUGGAGAAGAUCUGAAGAAAGAAUUAGAGGGGAGCUUGCAAAAUCCUUUGCACCUGCCAUUGCAGCUUUAUGUAGUGUUAUCUCGUCAACAAGCAUAUGAGCUACAGCUGAUGACAGGGGGUAACGAGGACAAGUUGUCAUAUGUGGUUAAGAACUUGGGCUUGAGGUUAAUGGGACUUAAUGCGCUGUUAAAUCAUUGUGGUUCUUUGGUUUCUAGCAUUACUAAUGCACGUAGAGGCCGAGGCAGGAAAAGGUUAAGUGCUGGACAAUACAACUGCGUGUAAGAUGACAUCAGUUUCAACACUUGACAUUUGAUGGGCAUUUCUGAUUUGGCAUGGAGUGUUUUGAUCCAAACAUUUGCUCCAUGAAAUGGAUCAUAAAUUGGGUAACUUUUUUUACUAUAAUAUAUGGAAAUUUAUAUUGAUAAUUUGAGAUUUAGAAGAGGGUGGGAUUUUGGUACGUGUCUGAGCCCUUUUGUGCUCUCACUUUCUUUUUUAUAUUCCCUUAUUUUUGUCUUCUAGUGACAUGUCAUUAUUAUGCAGGCCGUACGUAUGGAUGUUCUUUUUUUGUCAUUGUCAAGCGAUUAUUUAAUUCCCUCUAGCGCCUGUAUGGACCUAGCCUUGGAUGCAUAGACGUCUAUUGUCUUACUGAGCCAUCAAAUUAAGUAAGUUGGAUUUUGACUUCAAACUGUUAGUAUGAGGUCUGGACCGCACCUAGAAAAGUGGACUGAUGUAUUGGGUUGUCAUAAGACUCUAGCAUAUCUCUCUCUUAUGGGCUUAGUAAGGACCAGAGUGUCUCAGACCCAACUAUUAUCAAGUGCCACUUUGUCCACUCGUUAAUUUUGGAAAAAUCUUGAUGCCCCAAUUAUUACCGCAUGACUCUAGAAAUGCUUUUAUCAAAACGCCUUUUCUCUGCUUUUAUUUAUUUCAAACUCUCACUUCUGAUUCCACUUGCUACUCUGCCUCUUGCAGUUCUUUUGCUAUCUUACUCUCCUUCUUUGUGACUCGCUUUUUCAAUCUAAGGUACGUCUUACUCCCCUAUGAGUUUCGCUAGAAUUCUUAAUGUCGUGGGUCUGGUGUCUUUUAUCUCUCCUUCUUCCCUUUCUCGUUAUUUCUCUAGCGACUAUGCCGACAUCACCAUCUAUAGAAUUAGGGCCUUUCUUCCUAAUGUGAGGUUUGUACUUCCUAAUCCCCCUCCGGCAGGUUUGGUAGAUGCCCAAUAGGGGUGUAGCUUAGUCUUUUUUGUCAAGCAACGCAAUCUAGGACUGACCUUUUCUUUCACCCCUUUCUUCAUCGAGGUCUUCCGUCACUUUAGGGUGACUCCUCGAAUGUUCUCUCCAAAUUCUAUCUUGUUCAUGUGCUGCUUCAAGUCUAUUUGUUUGUGUAGGGGUUUUGCCCCCUCCAUCGAGUUAUUCUAUACUUUCUUUCAUCUAGUUCGGUCUAACCAUGAGUUUUAUUAUUUUGGUCUUCGAGCUGAGUUGUUUAUAUUUGCCGAGUACAAGGACUUGAUCAAAAGCUGGGUUGACGCUUUUGUUAUAGUUGAGUUGAAAGAAGGCUCGGGUCAGUUGGGAUGUCGAUCUUUGGGAGGAAAUUCCCUAGGGCUGCAACGACUUCCUUAGAUUAAUCCUGGUGGACCAAAUCUGCCUCCUUCGAUUGAUUUCUGUGUCGAGGAAGUACGGUGUCGAGAAGUGUAUGUUUAUAUCCAACCUUCAGGACUGCUGGGAAGCCGUUUCUAUUGUGCACAUGGACAAGAUCAGAUUGCUUAAGAAUUUUACCCUAUCUUGAAAGGGUAUAAAGGCGACUCUGGAGGCCUUCAAGGCCAACAAGUCUAUGGUCGACAUGACUCGCAAGGUUUUCCACACUAUCGACUCUACACUCGCAAUUCGUUGUGCUGCUCCUGCCUCAGCACCUUCUUGGGCUCUAGUGCCUAUGCUCGGGGCUCUUGCUCCUCCGCAUCAGAACCUCUGUCCUCGCUAAAGCUUAGACUUCAAUCCAGACUUCCCCUGCUCCUAAGAAAGCCACCAGGGAGCCUGUUGCACUCAGUGAGUCUACAGGGAGUAUUGGAAGAAGGCACCGGAGUGGCUUCUUUGGAUAUCCCGCCUAUCCAGGCUGUGGGGGCCGUCAUAGUUGGGGGCCAUGCUACUAAGCGAGCCCGAAUUGCUAAGACUACAACCAAGGGCAGGACUGCUAAACGCACUCGCACUCCUAAGCUCGCAAAGGCAAUCCUCUCUCCUUUAGUCAACAAAAGGAAGAAAACAGUAGAGCACUUAGCGUCUGCCCCAGACAACGAGUUGUAAGUGCCGCUAAGGUGACUGCUGAGUCUACUUCGGUUUCUGUGGCUGAGAUGUUGCGUGAGAAGAUGUUUGGGGGAGUCUCUAAUGUUUCUAAUCCCCGUUUUCUCGCUUUCAACAGCCAUCUGGCCUGUUCUACUAAACAACAGGUGGCCUUCAAUUUGCGAUCUCGGGAGGAUCUAAGGGAUAGCUUGAGAGAAAUGCUUCUUAUGAUGUUGGGUGUGUUCAUGGAGAUUGAUGCUCAGGACCAGUUUCUCCAAAGCUCAAUGGACCAGUACAUUGUCGAAACGCGUCGUGAGGAGAACAUUGUGGCCUCUGGUGGUGCUCGUGAGCAUAUCAUCGAGUUUCGAAACCAGAUUGAGGAUCUCACCAAACGGUUGGGAGACAUGAAGGAAGAGGUCAACAGGGCUUCUCAACGGGCUUCUACGGCGGAGUCUCAGCAAGAUAAAGCCUUAGUGCAAUUGUCUGCUUUAAAAGAGUCCUGCCGCCAGUGUAAUGAGACCAGGGCUUAGCGCGAUGAGACUUUAACCCAUGCUGAUGUCCUUCAACAAGAGCUUAAUAAACACAUCGAGGAUCUGAAAGACAUGGCUUCCGUAGCGGAGGAGUCUCGCGUUCAGCAACAAUAACUCCAUCGAGAGGUUUCUAUCAUGGAGGAGAGGUGUAUUGCAUUGCUAAGGGAUGUCCGGACUGCAUAAGAUAGGGUCCAGCAGGCAUGUGAGGAGCGUUUGCAGGAGUAUAAGAACUCGGUAAAGCUGAAAGAUCAAAUCCAGCAAGCCUGUGAAGCGCGCCUAGAAGAGUAUAAAGCCUCUGCGGAGAUGAAGGAAAAUAUAUACAAUGAGGCCUUCCGCAUGUUCGCUUCCGAGUACAAUCAAAGCCUUAAAGCGGCUAGGGAUACCCCUCUACUUCGUUUGCAGACCUGCGAGCUCCUGAAGUGGAUUCUGAUAGCGAGGAGGUAUGCUACGGAGAGGAUGGCAACCCUUUGUUCAAAAAUGCUCCUUGCUUGCCUUCCGGACCUCGGGGGAUAAUAUUGUAAAUAACACUGUAAAUGACUUAGUUCUGCCCCUUCUUCCCCUGCUGCCUCUAUAACCCAUUUAAAUAAUUAAUAGAGCUCAAUUUUUUCUUA